UACGGAGGGUGCAAGCGUUAUCCGGAUUCACUGGGUUUAAAGGGUGCGUAGGCGGGCAGGUAAGUCCGUGGUGAAAUCUCUGAGCUUAACUCAGAAACUGCCAUGGAUACUAUUUGUCUUGAAUAUUGUGGAGGUGAGCGGAAUAUGUCAUGUAGCGGUGAAAUGCUUAGAUAUGACAUAGAACACCAAUUGCGAAGGCAGCUCACUACACAGUCAUUGACGCUGAGGCACGAAAGCGUGGGGAUCAAACAGG
Molecule: ribosomal RNA, 253 nt
Filed under: uncultured bacterium
Lineage: Bacteria
Description: partial 16S ribosomal RNA
Rfam family: Bacterial small subunit ribosomal RNA
Source: RNAcentral